RNAcentral lists this transfer RNA (67 nucleotides) under Typhlonectes natans (Rio Cauca caecilian). RNAcentral's name for it is "tRNA-Arg". The record is from RNAcentral. Lineage: Eukaryota; Metazoa; Chordata; Amphibia; Gymnophiona; Typhlonectidae.
GCGAGAUUAGUCUAAAUAAGACAGCUGAUUUCGACUCAGCAAAUUAUGUUUAACCCAUAGUCCCCCA